Molecule: long non-coding RNA, 4087 nt
Organism: Sipha flava (yellow sugarcane aphid)
Lineage: Eukaryota; Metazoa; Arthropoda; Insecta; Hemiptera; Aphididae
Exons: 5
Source: RefSeq, a predicted model, not a curated record
CCAAGGGGUCCGGACUCCCCCCCCCAUUGACUCGUGUCUCGUACAUGUAAAUGUUUGUGAUUUUAUAUGUUUAAUAAAAACAAAUUAUAUCAUAGGAUAUGACAUAUGUCGAUAUGAACAAUUUUGUAAAAAAAUUUCGAAGCGUCAGUAUUAUCAACAUUUUCAAUUGUUAUCACGAUUUUUCGUUAUCAGUUUGGAACCAAACAUGGUUGAAAAAUACCGAGUUCUUGGUUAUUAAACAAACGCUCUGCUUUUAUCAAAUUAAAUUAAAUGAUAGCGGUAGCUGGUAGAUAACAAUGAUGACGGACGGUUUUUCUUAUUUAUGAUUAUGCAUUACAUGAUCUUCAAAACCGUUCGAAUUCGAAACUUCGCUGUGUUGUUUUUUGUUUAAUUAAUCUUUCAAAAAUUCAAAAUGAACAACACACCUAAAAUAACAACUUUUUUCACUGCAAUUCGGUCUACAGAGUCCACUUGUAGUAAUGAGACCCCUAGCGAGACUGCCGAGACUUUAAAUCUGAAAAGGUCUAUCGACGAAGACGGUGAGCAAAGUUUGAAUAAGAAAUUAAAUUCUCAGGUCCGGGAUAAAUUGACUAUACAAUAUUACAGCCGAAGAAGAUACGGAAUUGUAACUAUACGAGGUAUAACGUUCCAUUGAGAAGAUUUGUAUUUUGUUGUAUACCGUUCGAAUGGUGGUAUAGGUACCUGCUGUACAAUAAAUUAUGUAGGUACAAUCGUACACACAUAACUGUCUAGCAUUGUUAAACGCGCACAGAGGAUUUGGCGCGAAACAACAAUUUUUCAAACCGUUUCAAUUGUCCGGGACAAAUUUUUUUCCGUUUUAAUUUACUCGACCGAGAUUUUUUCUCGGCCAUUUCGGUCCUCGUCAUUUCGUCUCGGUUUUCACCCUCGUUAUGGGCAUAGAUACGUACACAUUAUGAUAUGUUUGAAAGACUAAUUUUUGUCGACCUUUCGGAAUGCGUUUACUCACCAUACAUAGAUCCCCACCCCGAAAAACACACACACACAACCGCGCGCGUACUCACAGCCUAUAUAAUUUUAGAUACGUGCUAUUAUAAAGAACAGAUACGCAGUACACACGCACGCACACACAUGUAGAAUAAUCAUGUAUAGCUAAAGCAUCGAUGUUGCCGUUAACGCAUACGGCAGCAGCAGUACCUAGAGACAUCGGUGUUUUUCGUAUCUCCCAUUAUAUACACCUGUCCAGGGCCACACAUCUACACAAACACACACUCUCUCACAUGUACACUCUCUAGCACACACACAGACACACGCACACGCACAAGCGUACGAGAGUACUGUGUAAAGCGCGAGUGCUGCAGCACGGAUAGGAUCGGUCCUAUCCUGCGACAGAGUGGGGAUGGUGGUGGUGGCAGUGGCUGCGGCGGCGGCGGCGGCGGCGUAUAAAGCCGCAGACUCCUUGCCGGGUACAAAAACAGGUUUUGAACAAACAAGAAAUAAACAUAAAAAAAAGAAUAAAAAUAAUAAUGAGAAAGAGAACAUAACGCGUAUAAUACCUGUGCCUUGGGUAAUUCUUCGAACUCGGCUCUUUCACCUCUGCCGCCGCGGUGGAACCGAAUGGAAAGAAACACCUUAUCUCCCUUCCCCUAAAUACAUAUAGGUACGUGUAUAGUAGCCGUAUAAUAUAUAUAACUAUUUUUAUUGCAGAGCCUCCGUUGAGAGAAUUAUCGACGUGCCACUCAGCGUCUCGACAAACACAUACACACACACACACACACACACAUACACACAUGAGUGCGCGUGUGAGGGGACUUAACGGUUUGUCGACUCGGAAGGAAAUCGUUUCCUCCCCCCUCCCUAAUUUUUACUUCUCGCCGAGAAAAACUGAUUGCCUGCAGUAACAUAACCUAUAUCUAUCGAACUGUUUUUGUAGUUUAUCAUUUCGUCCACUGUACACAAGAGAUAUCAAGAUAUCACAAGAGAAAAAUCCACGAACAGUUCCCCGAACAUUCUUGUUCGAUGUCUUUUUUAAUUGUAUUCAAUUCAUGCUAUCGCAGCAUCCAGCUUUGUUACGUUUCAUAUUAUUAUAUUUCGACGUCCUGUAAGGCAAAGAUAAUGUCUCCAAUUAUAUCGUUCGUUGCGCGUAUAGUGAUGAAUAGCAUUCGUGUUCAGUCGCCUCCCUUUGACGUGUCUGCUUUUUGCGGGUCUAAACGGCGGUAAAUAGUUUCUAUUGUACGGCCGAAAACACAUGUUAAUCUCAAUGUUCAAUGACAAUAAUAUGUAUGACGAGCGUUUCUUCUCGGAAAUGGGUUUUUUACUUUAACCCAUAGAAAUUCACGAGACGCCAUGCUAAUGUUUUUUGUUUAAAAAAGAACUGUAAUUAAAACUGGUAAUAAUAUAUACGUUGUUUGGAUGAAUUACACGUUUUAACAGAAAAGGAUAAAUAAUAAUUUUCGUGUUCCAUUAUUAUAAUAUUAUGCACACCGACACGUAAGAAGUCGUGGGGAUAAGAUAACAAUUAAAUAUCUGAACAAAGAAAACAUCAUCCGGUUCCGCGAUGAAUUGGAUUGGUUAGUUUAACGAAAUCAAAAUGGUAUCUAGAAAAUACGUAUGCGGAAAAAAAGAACAGAAAACAUAACUAUACUAUAUUUUUAUGCAGGUUGUUUAACGUGUCGAGAAAAACAUGGAUAAACGCGCAUGGAGCACCUAACUUGUUUUUGCCAAAAAUGUCACAUGCCACGCGCUUACGUGCCAUAGACCAUCCGUAUAACAACUGCGUGUCCCGCGGAGGCGAAUAUUUUAUCGAGUUUGUGUCGCGUAAACGUCGGUAAUACUCGAAUGGACAAUCAACCGGUGUUUGGUUAGCGGUGAAGGAGAUGCGAAACCAAUAUGAUGUCUCGUUUUUCAAACGUGUACACGUCCGCGGUAGCUGCGAUCUAGGCACGUGAACAAGGUUAAUAUUGCAUGUUAUGACCGCGAAAAUUCUUACGAACGGUCAAGGGGUACAGCAUGCGGAGAGCGUAGUGCGACGGAUCGAGUAGUCUCUGUUAUUUGAACACGGUACUGCGAGUGGUCGCAAGUGUUGAACCGGUGUCCGUACGAGAGUUGUUGAGAAUCGAUCGAUGAAUGCGCGUCCCCGGAAAACUCGCUAAUCGAUCUGUCGGCUUACCUCGAAUACAACGUGCCGCGAGCAUAGACGCAACUUGAGUUUACAUUUUUGGACAGAGGGACUGCUAUAAGUACCAAUAUAAUACAGAUUUGCAGGGGUCACGCCAACACUUGCCCUGAUUUAUAUAGAAACAAAAUUUGUUCCCGCCUACUAAAGGUUCAGUUAAAAUGUUAGCAAGAAGAUAAAAAAAAGCGCCAUUUCGAUAGCUAAAUUUUGAUUUCGGAUAUUCCUCAAUAAAACGGAAGCCAUAAUACACCGAAUAACGAUUUAAUAACUACGAGUAUUUCGUCCGCCUAUUGAGAUUAUGGACAUAUAUAAGUAAAUUUUAUCUCAAUCUCAAACACAAAAUUCUGAGAUUCAUAAUUGUUAAUCUGCGGUUGCUAUGGUAACAUCGAGGAAAGCUGAGCUCUUCCCCUCCAAAUCCCCCCUAGUUACGACUACGGUGGCUGGACCGAACGACUAGGGCGGUUUUUUCACAUGACCGCUACGGCCGGCCGGUCUGAAAUCAUUGCUGAUCGAAGGGAAAAAAACGAAAACAACCCGACCCGUCCAAUGAUACAAACGAUGCGACGACGUGAAGACAACCGCUAAAGAUGAAUGGUGUAUUGUAUUCUCAGCCGUACGUUGUGCGAUCUCACGGCCUCUGGCCAUCACACCGUCCGCCGCGUGCUCGAGUUCAAGGUGACCGCGUGCUACAGGCCCGACGCACCCGUACAGCUAUCGUCAUCGAAGCCGUCGCAGUCGGGGUGCGUACCUUCGUGUACGCAUUACACAGUAUACAGAUUGUCACACGAACGUAUUAUUAUACCCGUUGCGGUACACGUUCCGAGACAAAAAAAAAAUAACCGUAUCCUGUUUUUUGUUUUUUUUUUGUAUAUAUAGUCACGACUCCCGAGGAUCAUGAUUACAAAUAUUUUUAUUGCCGUUUUAUUGUAUUGG